Oryza glumipatula is the source of this 198-nucleotide non-coding RNA. Lineage: Eukaryota; Viridiplantae; Streptophyta; Magnoliopsida; Poales; Poaceae. The record is from Rfam.
AUUGAGAUAUCACUGUCUAGCGUUUGACCGCUCGUCUUAUUUGAAAAAUUUAUGAAUUUUUUUUUAAAAAAUAGUCACACAUAAAUUACUACUCAUGUUUUAUCAUCUAAUAACAAUAAAAAUAUUAAUUAUAAAAAAUUUUCAAAUAAGACGAACGAUUAAGCGUUGGACAUGAACAGUUGCAAAACUGCACUUAUU